This is a long non-coding RNA of Thunnus maccoyii (southern bluefin tuna), 175 nucleotides long. RefSeq lists it as uncharacterized. Lineage: Eukaryota; Metazoa; Chordata; Actinopteri; Scombriformes; Scombridae. The transcript is spliced from 3 exons. The record is from RefSeq and is a predicted model, not a curated record.
UCUGUUGGCUGUAGCUGGGUGUGGAGCCCUCACUGCCUGCUGCUGCAUCUGUUUUUGCUGGAUGAAGCGCAGAAAAAGAAAGAAACUUGCUCAAGAAAGGCAGCCUGAAGAAGUGACAAGUCCAUCCAGUGAGGUUCAGGGAUGAAGGCAACUGGAAACUUAGCUUAUGUUUUGA